Molecule: ribosomal RNA, 433 nt
Filed under: uncultured bacterium
Lineage: Bacteria
Description: partial 16S ribosomal RNA
Rfam family: Bacterial small subunit ribosomal RNA
Source: RNAcentral
AACGAUCGCUGGCGGCAUGCCUAACACACGCAACUCGAACGAGACCUUCGGGUCUAGUGGCGCACGGGUGCGUAACGCGUGGGAAACUGCCCUUAGGUUCGGAAUAACUCCCCGAAAGGGGUGCUAAUACCGGAUAAUGUCUUCGGACCAAAGAUUUAUCGCCUUUGGAUGGGCCCGCGUUGGAUUAGCUAGUUGGUAGGGUAAAAGCCUACCAAGGCGACGAUCCAUAGCUGGUCUGAGAGGAUGAUCAGCCACACUGGGACUGAGACACGGCCCAGACUCCUACGGGAGGCAGCAGUAGGGAGUAUUGGACAAUGUGCGAAAGCCUGAUCCAGCAAUGCCGCGUGAGUGAUGAAGGCCUUAGGGUUGUAAAGCUCUUUUACCCGGGAUGAUAAUGACAGUACCGGGAGAAUAAGCUCCGGCUAACUCGGUG